Molecule: ribosomal RNA, 253 nt
Filed under: uncultured bacterium
Lineage: Bacteria
Description: partial 16S ribosomal RNA
Rfam family: Bacterial small subunit ribosomal RNA
Source: RNAcentral
UACGUAGGGUGCAAGCGUUAAUCGGAAUUACUGGGCGUAAAGCGUGCGCAGGCGGUUGUGCAAGACAGGUGUGAAAUCCCCGGGCUUAACCUGGGAAUGGCAUUUGGGACUGCGAGGCUCGAGUGCGGCAGAGGAGACUGGAAUUCCUGGUGUAGCAGUGAAAUGCGUAGAUAUCAGGAGGAACACCGAUGGCGAAGGCAGGUCUCUGGGCUGACACUGACGCUCAUGCACGAAAGCGUGGGGAGCAAACAGG